GACGAACGCUGGCGGCGUGCUUAACACAUGCAAGUCGAACGGAAAGGCCCUGCUUUUGUGGGGUGCUCGAGUGGCGAACGGGUGAGUAACACGUGAGUAACCUGCCCUUGACUUUGGGAUAACUUCAGGAAACUGGGGCUAUUACCGGAUAGGAGCUCCUGCUGCAUGGUGGGGGUUGGAAAGUUUCGGCGGUUGGGGAUGGACUCGCGGCUUAUCAGCUUGUUGGUGGGGUAGUGGCUUACCAAGGCUUUGACGGGUAGCCGGCCUAAGAGGGUGACCGGCCACAUUGGGACUGAGAUACGGCCCAGACUCCUACGGGAGGCAGCAGUGGGGAAUAUUGCACAAUGGGCGGAAGCCUGAUGCAGCAACGCCGCGUGCGGGAUGACGGCCUUCGGGUUGUAAACCGCUUUCGCCUGUGACGAAGCGUGAGUGACGGUAAUGGGUAAAGAAGCACCGGCUAACUACGUG
RNAcentral lists this ribosomal RNA (468 nucleotides) under uncultured bacterium. RNAcentral describes it as "partial 16S ribosomal RNA". It matches the Rfam family "Bacterial small subunit ribosomal RNA", at positions 28 to 507 of the family's 1533-position model. The record is from RNAcentral.